GCCGGGGUGGCGGAACCGGUAGACGCGGCAGACUCAAAAUCUGUUGCCCGCGGAGGGCGUGCGGGUUCGAGUCCCGCCCCCGGCACCA
Molecule: transfer RNA, 88 nt
Filed under: Deinococcota bacterium
Lineage: Bacteria; Thermotogati; Deinococcota
Also listed under: 1 other name
Description: tRNA-Leu
Rfam family: tRNA
About the family: Transfer RNA (tRNA) molecules are approximately 80 nucleotides in length. Their secondary structure includes four short double-helical elements and three loops (D, anti-codon, and T loops). Further hydrogen bonds mediate the characteristic L-shaped molecular structure. tRNAs have two regions of fundamental functional importance: the anti-codon, which is responsible for specific mRNA codon recognition, and the 3' end, to which the tRNAs corresponding amino acid is attached (by aminoacyl-tRNA synthetases). tRNAs cope with the degeneracy of the genetic code in two manners: having more than one tRNA (with a specific anti-codon) for a particular amino acid; and 'wobble' base-pairing, i.e. permitting non-standard base-pairing at the 3rd anti-codon position.
Source: RNAcentral